AAGACUAUAGACCUGCGGAGUACCUGCGGAGGGAUCAUUAAUGAGAAACUGCCCCUCGCGGGUAGAUCUCCCACCCUUUGUAAACUUACCUUUGUUGCUUUGGCAGGCCCGUCUCCGGACCGCCGGCUUCGGCUGGCCAGUGCCUGCCAGAGGAUUCUAAAACUCUGUCUGUCAGUGUUGUCUGAGUCUAUAUACAAUCGUUAAAACUUUUAACAAUGGAUCUCUAGAUCGGAAGAGCAC
Molecule: unclassified non-coding RNA, 240 nt
Filed under: soil metagenome
Description: partial contains 5.8S ribosomal RNA, internal transcribed spacer 2, and large subunit ribosomal RNA
Source: RNAcentral